Molecule: unclassified non-coding RNA, 423 nt
Filed under: Hevea brasiliensis (rubber tree)
Lineage: Eukaryota; Viridiplantae; Streptophyta; Magnoliopsida; Malpighiales; Euphorbiaceae
Source: RNAcentral
CAUCAAGGAUUCUAGCAGAGACACAGAUGUCAUUAGAGUCAUCUCCUCGCCAUUAUAGGAUUCAAAAGCAAAACCCAGCACCCCAGAAAGUUAUUGAGUUUCGGAAGAUGGAGAAAGAUAAUAGGACUUCUGUUUCCAAGAAAGUACUUUUGCCCAAUCUCAGUGGCAUCUUCCAGCGAAAGAAGAACCAAAUUGAAGGUGGAUCUCCUUCUUACCUGCCUGGUGAGAAGCCUGUCUAACACCUGCGUUUGCAAUACCUUUGUGUGAUAAUGAAUGGUUGAGAGGCAUUGUUUAUGUGUUGAUUGUGUGUGUACAAAUAUUUGAAACUAGUGGAAUCAAAUUCUACAAUCUCUCCUCUGUUUAAGGAAGAAAAAGCGAAUAUCAAAAUCCACACUUCCCUAAACUUGCUUAUCAUGAUCUUUU